Molecule: ribosomal RNA, 324 nt
Filed under: uncultured bacterium
Lineage: Bacteria
Description: bacterial SSU rRNA
Rfam family: Bacterial small subunit ribosomal RNA
Source: RNAcentral
GACGAACGCUGGCGGCGUGCUUAACACAUGCAAGUCGAACGGGGUUCCUUGGAUAGAGGCUUCGGCCAAUUGAAUUGGAACCUAGUGGCGGACUGGUGAGUAACGCGUGAGGAACCUGCCUUUUAGAGGGGGACAACAGUUGGAAACGACUGCUAAUACCGCAUGACACAUAGAAGCUGCAUGGCUUUUAUGUCAAAGAUUUUAUCGCUGAAAGAUGGCCUCGCGUCUGAUUAGCUAGUUGGUGAGGUAACGGCCCACCAAGGCGACGAUAAGUAGCCGGACUGAGAGGUUGACCGGCCACAUUGGGACUGAGAUACGGCCCAG